RNAcentral lists this unclassified non-coding RNA (4104 nucleotides) under Portunus trituberculatus (swimming crab). Its description in RNAcentral is "gTP-binding protein 2-like, transcript variant X4". The record is from RNAcentral. Lineage: Eukaryota; Metazoa; Arthropoda; Malacostraca; Decapoda; Portunidae.
CUUGGUCGACUUAAUGCCUCGCAGUCACAAUAGCAUGUCAGUGAGUGGUAACCAUGCGCCAGGAAACACAGUAAUACCAUUGGCAAAGCGACACAAGAAGGCAUUCGAGUAUAAAAAUGUGACUGGAUAAAACAUUUCCUCCCACCGAUUUAUAAGACCACCACCACCACCACCGCCGCCACCACAAACUCUACACAAGAUGGGGGAGUGUGGCGGGGAAGAUUCAGCCCUGGCAAGUCUCUUCGGGCCUGACCAGCCAAGGAACAGCAAAAAGGACAAGAAAAAUAGGAAGAUCAAUCGACGGAAAGCAGACAACAAAGGAAAGGACAAGAUGGAUGCCUUUCUCAGCCUGUUUGACCCAACACUGGAGGAUGAGACCGCGAGUGACAUGGAUGAACUAAAUGGCAAUGUGAUCCGAGACAACACAUGGCAGCACGAGAGGCGAGGGACCUUAGGGGGCAUCCGUAGGGGUCCCAGCGUCGCCAUUCUCCCUGACCAGCUUCCCUCUGAGCCCCAGGAGGGAAAUAUUGAGUACAAGUUGAAGCUCGUCAAUCCGAACCAUGAGAGAUUUAAACGUCUUGUGUCUCAGAUGCAGUGGAGGUUACGCGAGGGUCUGGGAGAGGCUAUAUAUGAAAUUGGCGUGGAGGACUCUGGGUUUCUGCUUGGCCUGACGGAGGAGGAGCUCGAGGCGUCCAUGGCCACACUGCGUCGGAUGGCCUGCCAGCUGGGUGCCUCUCUCACCGUCAUCAGGGAAAAGGUCAUCCAGGGUCAUGAUGGCCAGACUCGCAAGGCUGCAGAAGUUCUAGUCAGAAAGGUACCUGAUGACCAAUAUAGCAUAGAGCUCCGAGUGGCGGUUCUUGGUAACUCGGACGUGGGCAAGUCAACGCUGCUUGGAGUGCUGACGCGAGGGGAGCUGGACAAUGGAAGGGGGUGUGCACGUCUCAAUGUGUUCCGCCACCGUCAUGAAGUGUGCUCCGGGAAAACCUCAUCCAUUUCUCUGCAGCUUAUGGGGUUUGAUUCUCAGGGGAACGUCAUUGACCAGACCUGCACAAGGAGCCGAGACUACGACGAUGAGGACAUCUGCAGCCAGUCCAUCAAGAUCAUCAACUUCAUCGACCUCGCUGGAGACCAGAAGUACCUCAAGACAACAGUGUUUGGCCUGUCAGGGUACUCGCCCCACUACGCUGUGCUGGUGGUGAGUGCCUUCUCUGGUGUGGCGCCCAUGACAGAGGAGCACCUGAGUUUGGCGCGGGCCCUUGAUGUGCCCAUUGUCAUCGUGGUGACCAAGACUGACAUCGCCUCCCCACAGCAGAUUCAGCGUACCAUCACCGACCUCACACAGACACUUACACAGCCGGGGUACAAGCGGGUGCCGCUAAUUGUGCAGAACGAGGAUGACGCCAUAACAGCCGGCAGCAACCACCUGGAGGGGAAUGUGGUGCCGAUCUUCUGUGCCUCCAGCGUCACUGGCGAUGGACUCAGUCUGCUCAAGAAGUUUCUGUUUGUGUUGCCGCCACGCAUGAGCAACAAGGAGAGGGAGAAGCUGGAGCAGGAGCCGGCAGAGUUCCAAAUAGACGAGGUUUUCCACGUAGACAACAGCAUCAUUGUUGGUGGUCUGCUCACCAAGGGCGUCAUCACUCAGGGCACCACACUGCUGCUGGGUCCCAUGGAUAACUGCAGCUUUGUGCCAGUCACCAUCGGCUCGCUCCACCGCAACAAGGUGCCGUGCAGGGUGGUGUGUGCAGGACAGUCAGCCUCCCUGUCUCUCGAGGGGCCACAGCUGCACCUCCGAAAGGGCAUGAAACUAAUGAGUGUGGAGGCGCGACCAAGGGCUUGCUUCUAUUUCCAGGCGCGUACUCAGGUGCUGCACCACUCCACCAGCAUUGGCCGAGGCUUCCAGGCCACGGUGCACAUCGGCAACGUGAGGCAGACAGCCGUGGUGGAGGGCAUCCUUGGCUCCCGGGGACUCCACACCAACGAUAGGGGCUCCGUCAUCUUCCGCUUCCUCCGCCAGCCUGAGCUGGUGCAGAACGGGUCCAGGCUCCUGUUCCGGCAGGGGUCCACCAAGGGCAUUGGCAAGGUGAUCCAGGUGUUUGAGGAGGAGCCGGACAAUGUGGACAUCUACAAUGGCCUUGCUAGAUAAACACUCCACCACUCCACCGCUGGCAGGACACAACACCAUCUGGUCUUUGGCCGGGUUAUAUUUAUUUUCUUGGAGUGUUACUUGAGUGCAGCGAUCCCAUGAUGGUGGGUGUGAGGACAGGCCCGCCGUAACAGUCAGAGACAACCCCACAACUUGGACAUCAGAGCCUCUGCCUGAUGGAACGUCUUAGUCGCUGUGAAGGGAAUGGAACACCACACACAGCUGUGUGUUGGUGGAUUCUGAGUGCUGUAAGGUGUUGGAGCCUCACUGGUGCUUCCCUCACCUCUGAUGGCACUUGGUGAAGCAGAAUGUGAUAGAGAGUAGUGUAGAAAAAGGUGGUGUCUGCUGCCAUAGGAAUCUCCUUAAUCAAAUUAGUGGUGAUGAGGUGAAUUGAGGUUGUGACCCAGCACUGUGAUGCCACGCCACGCCACGCCACGCCGGGGACGUUCAGUGUGGGGAAGUUUGCCGCCCACCUGCCAUUGGACUUUACAUUUUUCUGAAGCCCAAGUCUUGAAACGUAGAGUUCAAAGUUUUACAAUAAUGUCUUUUCUUUUUUCUACAAUACAGUAUUUUACUACAGAAAUUUGAUAUUAGUUGAAUAAUAAUGAUACUUGUGUAAUAUACAUAAAUUGUUUGUAUGUAACAAUGUAAGUUUUUGAAGGCCAUUUAAUUCGAAAAGGAGGAAAAGAAUAAAGGAGAGGAGAUGGAAAUGAUGAGGUGCUGAUGACAAGCACCUCACUUGCCACUUGACAAAGCAACAUUGUACCUGCAUAGUUUUUUGUAAGAAACUAGAAGUAUGAAAAUCUUCCCUUAAUUCUUAACUGUUGAGAUCCAUCAUGAUGCUGCUGUUGCUGCUGCUGCUGCUGCUGCUGCUGCUGCUGUUAAGUAAUCAAGUAAAGUGAAGUGAUUUAAGAAUGUCAUGCUUGGUGUGCAGACUGGUGCCACUGAGGGAUUUGUGUUAAUGCUAGUGGAAAGUGUCUGCCCUGAGAAAAAUGUUAAAUUUAUUCAAUUCAUUUAGUGAAAUGCUUACGGUGGCAGUGUGUCCUUGAUGGAAUGCAGUGCUGUUAUCAGUGUCACUCAAAUUAGAGAAGAAGCUGUUCUCUGCAUGAAAAUAUGCUUGAUAAUAAUUUAAAUUCAUUACUGACAAGAAAUUAAUAUGAAUUUGUUACUUGUUAGUAAUGAGGGAAAUUGAACAGAAGCAUGGAAUAUAGAGAAGAAAGGAAGAACAUGAGGAUGAGCAAGGAAUGGAAAUGAAUAGAAUUGUGAAGAUUGUAUCUGCAUAUGACAUGAGAAGAGGAAAAUAAAGAAGGAUAAUGACAGGAAUGGAGUGAGAAGACUGGAUCAGUGUACAAGAGAUGUGAAGAGUGAAGGGCAGAAAUAAGAAAGAUGAAAAGUUUGGACAUCAGUAAGAAGAGAACAAGUUUGUUGGCAUAUUUACUCCCGCAGUCCCACCACUCACUCAUCCUUUCAGUCACUGGUCCUCGUCUCACUGACAUCCACACCCUUGGCUGCCACUUACCCGUUUGUCGAGUUUAUUCCACUGCUGAGGAUUGUCCCCGCACAUGAGGUAUCUCAUGUUACAGAUGUGUUAGGACUUCACUUUCAGAACCCCAUUUUUGCAAGCCUGGGACGCCACACGUUUAGUAGUGUUAGUGUUGUGUGCAGUCGCGAAGUCAGUCUGUUGUGAUGCAUGUCACAUUUCAAUGGUGUCUGAUGGCAGGUGGGUGCACAAGUGUGUCUUCUGUUUUCUUUCAUCAUAGUUUGCAUAUAUUUGGAUACCUGAUGUAUAUACGUAUAAAUAUAACAGAAUUUAUUUUUUGAAUGAGAGAUGCCUUAUCACUAUGGUUUAUUAUGUUAAUGAUUGGCCUAAGUUUUUGUGCUUUCUGUGUUAGUCUGUGAGACAGUCCCUCCUAAACACCGGUAAAUAUUGCUUUCAUAUUUACAAUAAAUAUAGGAACAUU